RNAcentral lists this ribosomal RNA (642 nucleotides) under Triticum aestivum (bread wheat). RNAcentral describes it as "partial small subunit ribosomal RNA". The record is from RNAcentral. Lineage: Eukaryota; Viridiplantae; Streptophyta; Magnoliopsida; Poales; Poaceae.
AUGACUGGGCCACGGUCUGUGAGCGCCAGCACCCUUGUUCCUUCUGACUGGGAUGUUUACGUUGGAAUUUCGAGAUCUCGAAAAAGAAACGUGGGAGUUUCGUUGGUGGGCUGCAAACACGCUGCCUGCCGUCGGAUGCAGCCCACGAACGCCACGCUGGGACGUUCCCUCUGCAGCCCAGGCUCGCUCCCCCGCAGUUCAAGUUUUUGGCCUUUGGGACGCAACAAUGCUAUUCCGCCAAACCUUAGCCCUGAUGAUAUAGCAUACAUCUUUGCUGGAUAUGCACCUCUUAGUAUUCGCCUUGUUCAGCAUGCAGUGAGGUCUGGAUGGCGAUCUAUUGAAGAACUGUUGAAAUUAUUGCCAGGUCCUCAUAUGGAUUUGAAAAGAGGUGUCUCGACCAUUAAUUCAUCAGAAUUACUACCAGGUUCCGGGUCACAACAGAGUACCGACAGGGUUGGUCAUCGCUCCCUGGUUCUGGUUAUAUUUAUUGGCGGUGUAACAUCUGCUGAGAUUGCUGCGCUUCGAUUUCUUAGUGCACAGGAAGGAAUGGGCUAUGACUUCCUGGUUGCAACAACAAAGGUUAUCACUGGCAACACAUUACUGAGACCAAUUAUAGCCAGCAGCAAAGAGGGAAUGAUUUAG